UACGAGGGGGGCGAGCGUUGUUCGGAAUUAUUGGGCGUAAAGGGUGCGUAGGCGGUUUGGUAAGUCUGAUGUGAAAUCUAUGGGCUCAACUCAUAGUCUGCAUCGGAAACUGCCGGGCUUGAGUGUGGGAGAGGUGAGUGGAAUUCCUGGUGUAGCGGUGAAAUGCGUAGAUAUCAGGAGGAACACCGAUUGCGAAGGCAGCUUACUAAGCUGUAACUGACGCUGAGGCACGAAAGCGUGGGGAUCGAACAGG
This 253-nucleotide ribosomal RNA is filed under the name uncultured bacterium. Its description in RNAcentral is "partial 16S ribosomal RNA". It matches the Rfam family "Bacterial small subunit ribosomal RNA", at positions 524 to 776 of the family's 1533-position model. The record is from RNAcentral.